RNAcentral lists this unclassified non-coding RNA (462 nucleotides) under Hevea brasiliensis (rubber tree). Lineage: Eukaryota; Viridiplantae; Streptophyta; Magnoliopsida; Malpighiales; Euphorbiaceae. The record is from RNAcentral.
AUCUUAUAUAUGUAGUUGCCAGCGGAUGAAUUACUGAUAUAGACAGCUGUACACGAACUUACACAGUUAUAAUGGAUUACAGAUUAACUAAGACAGCAAACAAUGCUUGGAUGAAGGCUCCAUAUUCCACUCAACAUCUCCACAUGCUCCCAUGACUGAAGUGAAGAUAUAAUCAUCCAUCUCAAUACCCUCUGCCUGCAUCCGAUACAUGAGCUUCAAUGCCUCUCGGCAGCGUCCAUUCCUUGCAUAACCCAAAAUCAUUGUUUUCCAAGAAAUCAAGUUCCGCUCUGGCAUACUGUCAAAAACUUGAAUUGCAUCUGAUAAAUAUCCACACUUGGAAUACAUAUAAAUUAAUGCACUACCUACAAAGACAUUAGAUGAAGCUGGUGUCUUGUUGGCAAAGGAGUGUAUCAAUUUUCCUUGCAGAAUAGCAUCGAGAUUAGCACAAGCUUUCAAAGCUGA